AGGAGAGGAAGAAGAGGGAGGAGAAGGAACAGGAACUGAGGGAGCUGGAGAAGCAGAGACGAAUGAAAAAGGAACACCAGAACAUGUUACAGUACCUGUAUUACUUCACGUUCUGCCAUGAUGACUGUCCGGAUGACUUUCACAUAGUAACAAACUUCCCCAGGAAAACCUUGCCAUGUGAGCCAACUAGCGACAAUCCUGAACCAAUCAGUUUUGAGAAAUUCGGACUUAGAAAAAACGAAAUUCUUUUUGUACAGGAUAAUGAAGCUUAGGUGAUUUAAUCAUAAAUAAAUUAUUGACUAUUCAAAAGUGAGGUCAUUGAAAACGUAAGUUGUUAGAAACAGUGAACUUCCUUGAGAUGGCAUUUUGCAGAAAUUCAACUGAUAAGCAUUUGUCUAUCGUGAGUUUGCUUAAGGUUUUGAAGAAUUGGUGGAAAUGAUGUUCCUGCUUUAUGUCCCCUGUUUUGCUGAAUGGAUCUACUACAUUGAGAUUUUGUCUUUUAAUCAAGAGAAGUGUGUUCAGGCUGCAGCCAGUUUUAUGUAAGAAAUACAUUUUUUAUGUGUUAAUGAUAUCUAUUUGUGUUUCACUUUUCAAAAUUGUAUGUACGAAAGUAGGUUUCGUAAUGAAACACUUAUGAAAGCACAUACAAGAUGCUGCUAUGAAAAUGUACAAUAAAUAUUUUAUUUUAAGAUUUGAUAUAAUUCAUAAACUUAAACAUUAUCACCAAAUGAUAUUUGAGACUUUCUUUAAAUAAAAGAAAUACCCACCGGUAGAAUGUAUUUUA
This is a long non-coding RNA of Dreissena polymorpha, 784 nucleotides long. RefSeq lists it as uncharacterized. The transcript is spliced from 2 exons. Lineage: Eukaryota; Metazoa; Mollusca; Bivalvia; Myida; Dreissenidae. The record is from RefSeq and is a predicted model, not a curated record.